UAUUUCUAGGGGAGCGGUUAAAUGUGAUAAUCCUAGAAAGACUACCUGUGGCGAAGGCGCCUAACUAGAACAGCUCUGACGGUGAGGGAUGAAAGCUAGGGGAGCGAUCCGGAUUAGAUACCCGAGUAGUCCUAGCCGUAAACACUGCCAGCUAGGUGUCGCAUAUUCUACGCGAAUAUGCGGUGUCGAAAUGAAGAUGAUAAGCUGGCCGCCUGGGAAGUACGGUCGCAAGACUGAAACUUAAAGGAAU
Molecule: ribosomal RNA, 250 nt
Filed under: uncultured archaeon
Lineage: Archaea
Description: partial 16S ribosomal RNA
Rfam family: Archaeal small subunit ribosomal RNA
Source: RNAcentral